Molecule: ribosomal RNA, 465 nt
Filed under: uncultured bacterium
Lineage: Bacteria
Description: partial 16S ribosomal RNA
Rfam family: Bacterial small subunit ribosomal RNA
Source: RNAcentral
GACGAACGCUGGCGGCGUGCUUAACACAUGCAAGUCGAACGGAAAGGCCCCUUUGGGGGUACUCGAGUGGCGAACGGGUGAGUAACACGUGAGUAACCUGCCCUUGACUUCGGGAUAACUUCAGGAAACUGGGGCUAAUACCGGAUAGGAAUCCUUGCUGCAUGGUGGGGGUUGGAAAGCUACGGCGGUUUUGGAUGGACUCGCGGCUUAUCAGCUUGUUGGUGGGGUAGUGGCUUACCAAGGCUUUGACGGGUAGCCGGCCUGAGAGGGCGACCGGCCACAUUGGGACUGAGAUACGGCCCAGACUCCUACGGGAGGCAGCAGUGGGGAAUAUUGCACAAUGGGCGGAAGCCUGAUGCAGCAACGCCGCGUGCGGGAUGACGGCCUUCGGGUUGUAAACCGCUUUCAGCAGGGGCGAAGCUUGUGGUGACGGUACCUGCAGAAGAAGCACCGGCUAACUACGUG